This 317-nucleotide long non-coding RNA is filed under the name Callithrix jacchus (white-tufted-ear marmoset). RNAcentral describes it as "lncRNA (ENSCJAG00000077373.1)". The record is from RNAcentral. Lineage: Eukaryota; Metazoa; Chordata; Mammalia; Primates; Cebidae.
UUAGACUUGUCUUCUGUCACCGUAUACAUGUUCCAGUUGCACAGACUUACAUAACAUAAUAAACAACAUAUGAAUUUAUGAUAUUCUUUUAUGCCUGUGUGGAUUUACUAAUGACGUAUAUUCCCUAUGCAGGAUGCUCUCCCUUCUUCUCUUCAUGGUGUUGACACAUCCAGCAUGGCCACUUUCAAGCCCCUAGGGAGAUGUUACUGAAGAAAGGGUUGAAAAGAGAUACUCACCAUUGGCUCUCAUGAGCUACUGCAGGCUGGUUCCAGUGCACCACUGAGUGCUGAGUAGUAGAGCUUCAAACAUCCUUUGAA